AUUUAAAUAGCUUAAGUUAAAGUUUAAUAUUGAAGAUAUUAAGAUAAUUUUUAAUUUUUAAAUA
RNAcentral lists this transfer RNA (64 nucleotides) under Pseudacysta perseae. RNAcentral describes it as "tRNA-Phe". Lineage: Eukaryota; Metazoa; Arthropoda; Insecta; Hemiptera; Tingidae. The record is from RNAcentral.